AUACGUAGGUGGCAAGCGUUGUCCGGAUUUAUUGGGCGUAAAGCGAGCGCAGGCGGUUCAUUAAGUCUGAUGUGAAAGCCCCCGGCUCAACCGGGGAGGGUCAUUGGAAACUGGUGGACUUGAGUGCAGAAGAGGAGAGUGGAAUUCCAUGUGUAGCGGUGAAAUGCGUAGAUAUAUGGAGGAACACCAGUGGCGAAGGCGGCUCUCUGGUCUGUAACUGACGCUGAGGCUCGAAAGCGUGGGGAGCAAACAGGAUUAGAUACCCUGGUAGUCCACGCCGUAAACGAUGAGUGCUAAGUGUUGGAGGGUUUCCGCCCUUCAGUGCUGCAGCAAACGCAUUAAGCACUCCGCCUGGGGAGUACGACCGCAAGGUUGAA
Molecule: ribosomal RNA, 377 nt
Filed under: uncultured Enterococcus sp.
Lineage: Bacteria; Bacillati; Bacillota; Bacilli; Lactobacillales; Enterococcaceae
Description: bacterial SSU rRNA
Rfam family: Bacterial small subunit ribosomal RNA
Source: RNAcentral